Molecule: ribosomal RNA, 254 nt
Filed under: uncultured bacterium
Lineage: Bacteria
Description: partial 16S ribosomal RNA
Rfam family: Bacterial small subunit ribosomal RNA
Source: RNAcentral
UACGGGGGGAGCAAGCGUUGUUCGGAUUUACUGGGCGUAAAGGGCGCGUAGGCGGCCAGCACAAGUCAGUUGUGAAAUCUCCGGGCUUAACUCGGAAAGGUCAACUGAUACUGUGCGGCUAGAGUGCAGAAGGGGCAACUGGAAUUCUCGGUGUAGCGGUGAAAUGCGUAGAUAUCGAGAGGAACACCUGCGGCGAAGGCGGGUUGCUGGGCUGACACUGACGCUGAGGCGCGAAAGCGUGGGGAGCAAACGGG